This 473-nucleotide unclassified non-coding RNA is filed under the name Hevea brasiliensis (rubber tree). Lineage: Eukaryota; Viridiplantae; Streptophyta; Magnoliopsida; Malpighiales; Euphorbiaceae. The record is from RNAcentral.
AAUGAUUAAGUGUGCAAACUUGUCUUGUGAAAAUAAACGGAAAUAAAAUCGCACUUGCAGGUUCAGUAAAUUUAUUUAUUAUAAUGAUGAAACAAAUUUAUUUGAGGAUAGCAAUGGAGUUUUCAAUACGACCAGGUAGGCAAACAAAAACUCAACAUAUUGCCACUUCACAGUGUGUAUAUGCAGAUCAUCUUAUAAGAAAUCUUAUAUUUUAGUCCGUAAAUGCGUUAAAUGCAUGACAGAGAACCGACAAUAUGGUAACAGAUUGGCCAAGAAUAUCUUACAAGCGAAGCACCAAAGAAGCAAGGUUGCAAAAUUUGCAACUAGGCUCAAAUGAGAUCACAUGCAGUCCUAUAGAAAGUGAACUCCAACGUGCUUGAAAUGCACAAUAAAUGGGAAAAAAAGUUGAAUAAAAUUGGGUGGCUUUCAAAACGCUGGAUUGUAAAACUAAGUAUUUCAUCUUGGUCCUACAC